AAAUUGAAGAGUUUGAUCAUGGCUCAGAUUGAACGCUGGCGGCAGGCCUAACACAUGCAAGUCGAACGGUAACAGAAAGCAGCUUGCUGCUUUGCUGACGAGUGGCGGACGGGUGAGUAAUGUCUGGGAAACUGCCUGAUGGAGGGGGAUAACUACUGGAAACGGUGGCUAAUACCGCAUAACGUCGCAAGACCAAAGAGGGGGACCUUCGGGCCUCUUGCCAUCAGAUGUGCCCAGAUGGGAUUAGCUUGUUGGUGAGGUAACGGCUCACCAAGGCGACGAUCCCUAGCUGGUCUGAGAGGAUGACCAGCCACACUGGAACUGAGACACGGUCCAGACUCCUACGGGAGGCAGCAGUGGGGAAUAUUGCACAAUGGGCGCAAGCCUGAUGCAGCCAUGCCGCGUGUAUGAAGAAGGCCUUCGGGUUGUAAAGUACUUUCAGCGGG
RNAcentral lists this ribosomal RNA (446 nucleotides) under Salmonella enterica. RNAcentral's name for it is "bacterial SSU rRNA". It matches the Rfam family "Bacterial small subunit ribosomal RNA", at positions 1 to 443 of the family's 1533-position model. The record is from RNAcentral. Lineage: Bacteria; Pseudomonadati; Pseudomonadota; Gammaproteobacteria; Enterobacterales; Enterobacteriaceae.